Molecule: small nuclear RNA, 22 nt
Filed under: Arabidopsis thaliana (thale cress)
Lineage: Eukaryota; Viridiplantae; Streptophyta; Magnoliopsida; Brassicales; Brassicaceae
Description: snRNA_08585
Source: RNAcentral
UGAUCUCAGCAAUGGUGAUCUC